This 23-nucleotide microRNA is filed under the name Gallus gallus (chicken). RNAcentral's name for it is "gga-miR-1731-5p". The record is from miRBase by way of RNAcentral. Lineage: Eukaryota; Metazoa; Chordata; Aves; Galliformes; Phasianidae.
ACUUGACUGCAGGCACUGCUGCU